Molecule: ribosomal RNA, 1364 nt
Filed under: metagenome
Description: bacterial SSU rRNA
Rfam family: Bacterial small subunit ribosomal RNA
Source: RNAcentral
GGGUGAGUAACACGUUGGUGACCUGCCCCGAAGUGUGGGAUAACAGUCCGAAAGGAUUGCUAAUACCGCAUGUGGUUGUUGAGUUUAGAAAUCAACAACUAAAGCAGUAAUGCGCUUCGGGAGGGACCUGCGUCCCAUCAGCUAGUUGGUAGGGUAACGGCCUACCAAGGCGUCGACGGGUAAGGGACCUGAGAGGGUGGUCCCUCACAAUGGCACUGAAACACGGGCCAUACACCUACGGGUGGCAGCAGUAGGGAAUAUUGGGCAAUGGGCGAAAGCCUGACCCAGCAACGCCGCGUGUGCGAUGAAGGCCUUCGGGUCGUAAAGCACUUUUCUGAGGGAUGAGCAAGGACAGUACCUCAGGAAUAAGUCUCGGCUAACUACGUGCCAGCAGCCGCGGUAAAACGUAGGAGACGAGCGUUAUCCGGAUUUACUGGGCGUAAAGCGUGUGCAGGCGGUUCGGCAAGUUGGAUGUGAAAUCUCCCGGCUCAACUGGGAGGGGUCGUUCAAAACUACCGGACUUGAGGACAUCAGAGGAAGGUGGAAUUCCGGGUGUAGUGGUGAAAUGCGUAGAUAUCCGGAGGAACACCAGUGGCGAAGGCGGCCUUCUGGGAUGUUUCUGACGCUCAUACACGAAAGCUAGGGGAGCGAACGGGAUUAGAGACCCCGGUAGUCCUAGCUGUAAACGAUGUAGACUUGGCGUCGGAGGGUUCAAAACCUUCGGUGUCGAAGCUAACGCGAUAAGUCUACCGCCUGGGGACUACGGCCGCAAGGUUAAAACUCAAAGGAAUUGACGGGGGCCCGCACAAGCAGCGGAGCGUGUGGUUUAAUUCGAUUUACACGAAGAACCUUACCCGGGUUUGACAUGUUAGUGGUAGGAAUCCGAAAGGUGACCGACCCGCAAGGGAGCUAUCACAGGUGCUGCAUGGCUGUCGUCAGCUCGUGUCGUGAGAUGUUCGGUUAAGUCCGCUAACGAGCGCAACCCUCGCUACGUGUUACAUGUGUCACGUGGGACCGCCGGUAUCAAGCCGGAGGAAGGUGGGGAUGACGUCAAGUCAGCAUGGCCUUUAUAUCCGGGGCUACACACACGCUACAAUGGUCGGUACAAUGGGUCGCUAAGCCGCGAGGUGGAGCCAAUCCCCAAAGCCGGCCCCAGUUCAGAUCACAGGCUGCAACUCGCCUGUGUGAAGUCGGAGUUGCUAGUAAACGCGCGUCAGCUAUAGUGUGUUGAAUACGUUCUCGGGCCUUGUACACACCGCCCGUCACGUCAUGGGAGCUGGUAACACCUGAAGCCGGUACCCUAACCGCAAGGGGGGCGCUGUCGAAGGUGGUGCUGGUGACUGGGACGAAGUCGUAACAAGGUA